Long non-coding RNA from Papaver somniferum (opium poppy), 200 nucleotides. RefSeq lists it as uncharacterized. The transcript is spliced from 3 exons. NCBI's taxonomy places the organism in Eukaryota, Viridiplantae, Streptophyta, Magnoliopsida, Ranunculales, Papaveraceae. The record is from RefSeq and is a predicted model, not a curated record.
UCAAAGUUCAAGAGAGAAUUUUUUGCUACUUUCACCACCCUAUUUUUCGCUUGGCUGGUUGGACCUUGCCAGGUGAAGGAAUCUGAGAUAGAAGGAAAAAUGGAGAAGAAUGUAGUUCACAUCCCCAAAUGCAGGCUCUUGGAGGAGAGCAAAUGUGUAGGGAUGUGCGUAAACCUGUGUAAGAUGCCAUCGCAGAAGUU